This 274-nucleotide ribosomal RNA is filed under the name uncultured bacterium. RNAcentral's name for it is "partial 16S ribosomal RNA". It matches the Rfam family "Bacterial small subunit ribosomal RNA", at positions 523 to 796 of the family's 1533-position model. The record is from RNAcentral.
AUACGAAAGGUGCAAGCGUUGUUCGGAUUUACUGGGCGUGAAGAGAGUGUAGGUUGUUUAUUAAGUCGGAUGUGAAAUCCCGGGGCUCAACCUCGGAACUGCAUUCGAUACUGAUAGGCUAGAGUUUGGGAGGGGUAAGCGGAAUUCCGUGUGUAGCAGUGAAAUGCGUAGAUAUACGGAGGAACACCUGAGGCGAAGGCGGCUUACUGGACCAAUACUGACACUGAGACUCGAAAGCGUGGGGAGCAAACAGGAUUAGAAACCCUAGUAGUCC